Molecule: long non-coding RNA, 396 nt
Organism: Gopherus flavomarginatus (Mexican gopher tortoise)
Lineage: Eukaryota; Metazoa; Chordata; Testudines; Testudinidae
Exons: 2
Source: RefSeq, a predicted model, not a curated record
CCACCUAAUUCCUAAUCUAAGGCAGAAAUACAAUGUCCGCUCUAUGCCUAUCCGAAAAGAUGACGAAGUCCAGGUUGUCCGGGGACAUUAUAAAGGCCAGCAAAUCGGCAAGGUAGUCCAGGUAUACAGAAAAAAAUACGUCACCUACAUUGAACGCGUACAGCGUGAGAAGGCCAACGGCACAACAGUCCAUGUUGGAAUCCAUCCUAGCAAGGUGGUGAUCACUAGGCUAAAACUGGACAAGGAUCGCAAAAAGAUCUUGGAACGCAAAGCAAAGUCUUGCCAGGUUGGCAAGGAGAAGGGCAAAUACAAGGAAGAAACCAUUGAAAAGAUGCAAGAAUAGAAUGGUCUCCUGUGUGUCACCCAUUAAAAGAACUGCUAAAAUGAAAAAAAAAA